Molecule: ribosomal RNA, 169 nt
Filed under: uncultured bacterium
Lineage: Bacteria
Description: partial 16S ribosomal RNA
Rfam family: Bacterial small subunit ribosomal RNA
Source: RNAcentral
CCUACGGGAGGCAGCAGUCGGGAAUUUUGGGCAAUGGGCGAAAGCCUGACCCAGCAACGCCGCGUGAAGGAUGAAGUAUUUCGGUAUGUAAACUUCGAAAGAAUGGGAAGAAUCAAUGACGGUACCAUUUAUAAGGUCCGGCUAACUACGUGCCAGCAGCCGCGGUAAU